RNAcentral lists this long non-coding RNA (1909 nucleotides) under Bos taurus (domestic cattle). Its description in RNAcentral is "long non-coding RNA NONBTAT013902". The record is from RNAcentral. Lineage: Eukaryota; Metazoa; Chordata; Mammalia; Artiodactyla; Bovidae.
AUCAAGGGGAUCCUUAAAACAGACUACUAGAAAGAAUUGUUCUCAUCACCAGAGGGCAGUGUUGUGUAUAAAUGAGUAGUUUAAUAUUGUACCAUAGUCCAGUUUGUGUUGGUAACGUGGAAAAUACCAAAAUCAGGGUGCAGAGCAAGGAUACCGUUAUCAUGAGUUUCAGAAGGGAAAGCUUAUACGGCUUCAGGUUCACCUAAAGAAGGUGUAUGUGUAGGUGAAACACGAUACAUGCAGAUAAUUGGAUGUGACACUGGAAAACAAAACGGAGAACUUGAGUCCCAAACCCUGUGGGUCUUAAAAUGUUCCCAUACUGGAACACUAUCAGUUUCUAUAAUAGUAUAUUAUGUUGCAUUUGUAUUUGGAACUACCAUCGUACAUAAUUUUUUUUCUAUUUAGAAUAUUCUAGAUCUUAUUCCCUGUUACAGUUUUAAUGUUUUCCUCGCUGUUACUUGAUGGCUUCUACCAAUACGUAUUGCCUGCACUUUUUCUAAGUUGAUGUUCAGUGCGUGUCUUCAGAGCAGAAUUACUGAAAGAGUUAUUCAAGGAUGAAACUGUGUGCAAGUCAGGCGUGGUGGGGACUGUGUACAUGAGAUCUGAUGGAUAGCUGAUUAAUAGUGUGUAACUUAAAGUAGCUUCUCAGUAGGAAUGUUUCUUUUUUUUUUUAAUUCUCCAUAGAUGUCAUGGUCUUUGAUCUUUAUAAACCGAAAAAAGAUGGAACAGAGAAGUAGGCAAGGAUUUAGGGAGACUCUGUAAAUGAUGACUUGUUAUUUUUAACGCUGAGCCAAGAUUCUCAGACCACUUUCGCUUUGUUGAAGCUGACUAUAACACAAACUAGCUGGCUGGCUUUUUCAUUUUGAGCUCUCUACAAGUUGCCAGAAAGAGUGACUCUUCUAAUGAAAGCACGAGUGACUCUCAUAUAGGAAAUCCUCUUCCAAGUAAUUGAGAGUGGCCUUGACUGUCCAGGGUCACCAAGAGAAGUGAGUACCCAAGUACCACCUGAAAGAGCAGGGCACAUUGUCCCAGUGCUUGCCAUGUAGGGGCGUUAUAAGACUGCAGUUUAUAGGAUGUUUGAUCACCACAGAAAUACACCCAUCGUAAGCAAUUGCAGCCUAAUGGACUGGAAAAUUGCUUAACAGAUUUUUGUAUUUGAUUAGAAACAUUUCCAUAUUGGUGAAACGCCACUCAUUUCUUUUUCUGAGCAGUGAAUCUUAAGUAGCAACAGGGAGAAAGCCUCCCCACAGCCACCAUUCAUCUUGCGUAUUCAGCUAGAAAAAUAGAACUGCUAAAGGCCCACUGGUACCUCUUAGGUAACCACAGGUUUUCAUUUUGUGCUGAAUUAUUAGACAUUUUUCUUUUUACAUUCUUAGAGCAUGAUUAAGAGACCAAUUUACUCCCAAAGAAAAUUGCUACUAAAUUACAUCUAUUAAGUUUUUAUAUUAAAACAUACUCUACCAAAGGUUGACAGUCACUGAGCAGCUGUGCCACUCUGAAUGCGUCAUGUGCUGGCAUAAUUUAUUAACUGACUGUAUGCAAGUGCCGUGAAAUUACUCUGGGGCUGCAUUUGAGUAUCUCCAGGGUCCCGGAUGUUUCACUCCCUUUGUCCUUGGAUUUUCUUCCUAUGGAUUACACACAGAGACCAGAAUUCUCAACAUCUUCAGAGAAAUUUUGGUUUGCAGAAAAAUCAUAAGAAAACCCAAGACGAAUGUGGACACUACAUAGAUAGAAAAGAAUUAAUAGAAGGCUCCACAAACAGUCGAUUUCUAGGCCACAGUCAAUUUCUUGGGUGGCUCUUAGUGAGGCCACAGUUCACAUGACCUUAUAAACCAUGAGCAAAAUUCCUCUGCGAUGUGAUGAAAAAUUCCAGUAUGUAAGGGAAGUAAGAAUGAUCACAAGUGACUUG